This 253-nucleotide ribosomal RNA is filed under the name uncultured bacterium. Its description in RNAcentral is "partial 16S ribosomal RNA". It matches the Rfam family "Bacterial small subunit ribosomal RNA", at positions 524 to 776 of the family's 1533-position model. The record is from RNAcentral.
UACGUAGGGGGCAAGCGUUAUCCGGAUUUACUGGGUGUAAAGGGAGCGUAGACGGCAGCGCAAGUCUGGAGUGAAAUGCCGGGGCUCAACCCCGGAACUGCUUUGGAAACCGUGCAGCUAGAGUGCGGGAGAGGUAAGCGGAAUUCCUAGUGUAGCGAUGAAAUGCGUAGAUAUUAGGAGGAACACCAGUGGCGAGGGCGGCUUACUGGACCGUAACUGACGUUGAGGCUCGAAAGCGUGGGGAGCAAACAGG